ACGCUGGCGGCAGGCCUAACACAUGCAAGUCGAGCGGUAGAGAGAAGCUUGCUUCUCUUGAGAGCGGCGGACGGGUGAGUAAUGCCUAGGAAUCUGCCUGGUAGUGGGGGAUAACGUUCGGAAACGGACGCUAAUACCGCAUACGUCCUACGGGAGGAAGCAGGGGACCUUCGGGCCUUGCGCUAUCAGAUGAGCCUAGGUCGGAUUAGCUAGUUGGUGGGGUAAUGGCUCACCAAGGCGACGAUCCGUAACUGGUCUGAGAGGAUGAUCAGUCACACUGGAACUGAGACACGGUCCAGACUCCUACGGGAGGCAGCAGUGGGGAAUAUUGGACAAUGGGCGAAAGCCUGAUCCAGCCAUGCCGCGUGUGUGAAGAAGGUCUUCGGAUUGUAAAGCACUUUAAGUUGGGAGGAAGGGCCAUUACCUAAUACGUGAUGGUUUUGACGUUACCGACAGAAUAAGCACCGGCUAACUCUGUGCCAGCAGCCGCGGUAAUACAGAGGGUGCAAGCGUUAAUCGGAAUUACUGGGCGUAAAGCGCGCGUAGGUGGUUUGUUAAGUUGGAUGUGAAAUCCCCGGGCUCAACCUGGGAACUGCAAUCAAAACUGACUGACUAGAGUAUGGUAGAGGGUGGUGGAAUUUCCUGUGUAGCGGUGAAAUGCGUAGAUAUAGGAAGGAACACCAGUGGCGAAGGCGACCACCUGGACUGAUACUGACACUGAGGUGCGAAAGCGUGGGGAGCAAACAG
RNAcentral lists this ribosomal RNA (747 nucleotides) under uncultured bacterium. RNAcentral describes it as "bacterial SSU rRNA". It matches the Rfam family "Bacterial small subunit ribosomal RNA", at positions 33 to 775 of the family's 1533-position model. The record is from RNAcentral.